CCCUGGCUCAGGACGAACGCUGGCGGCAUGCCUAAUACAUGCAAGUCGAGCGGAGUUAAGAUGGAGCUUGCUCCUGAUUAACUUAGCGGCGGACGGGUGAGUAACACGUAGGCAACCUGCCCUCAAGCCUGGGAUAACUACCGGAAACGGUAGCUAAUACCGGAUAAUUUCUUUUUUCUCCUGAGGAGAGAAUGAAAGGCGGAGCAAUCUGCUGCUUGGGGAUGGGCCUGCGGCGCAUUAGCUAGUUGGUGGGGUAAUGGCUCACCAAGGCGACGAUGCGUAGCCGACCUGAGAGGGUGAACGGCCACACUGGGACUGAGACACGGCCCAGACUCCUACGGGAGGCAGCAGUAGGGAAUCUUCCGCAAUGGGCGCAAGCCUGACGGAGCAAUGCCGCGUGAGUGAUGAAGGUUUUCGGAUCGUAAAGCUCUGUUGCCAGGGAAGAACGUCCGGUAGAGUAACUGCUACCGGAGUGACGGUACCUGAGAAGAAAG
This 494-nucleotide ribosomal RNA is filed under the name Paenibacillaceae bacterium CL7.8. Its description in RNAcentral is "bacterial SSU rRNA". It matches the Rfam family "Bacterial small subunit ribosomal RNA", at positions 17 to 490 of the family's 1533-position model. Lineage: Bacteria; Bacillati; Bacillota; Bacilli; Caryophanales; Paenibacillaceae. The record is from RNAcentral.